UUAGAGGUGCCAGAGUUUUAUGGGGCUGGUUUAGGUCCAGUUAACGAUAUAAAUUAUCCCUUUGCG
This 66-nucleotide transfer RNA is filed under the name Haplorchis taichui. RNAcentral describes it as "tRNA-Leu". The record is from RNAcentral. Lineage: Eukaryota; Metazoa; Platyhelminthes; Trematoda; Opisthorchiida; Heterophyidae.